This 345-nucleotide ribosomal RNA is filed under the name Tragelaphus buxtoni (mountain nyala). RNAcentral describes it as "partial 16S ribosomal RNA". It matches the Rfam family "Archaeal large subunit ribosomal RNA", at positions 2043 to 2553 of the family's 2987-position model. Lineage: Eukaryota; Metazoa; Chordata; Mammalia; Artiodactyla; Bovidae. The record is from RNAcentral.
CAUUUGUUCUCUAAAUAAGGACUUGUAUGAAUGGCCACACGAGGGUUCUACUGUCUCUUACUUCCAAUCAGUGAAAUUGACCUCCCCGUGAAGAGGCGGGAAUGAAUAAAUAAGACGAGAAGACCCUAUGGAGCUUUAACUAAUCAACUCAAAGAAAACAUAAUAAAUCACUCAGGGAAUAACAAUAUUUUCUUAUGAAUUGACAGUUUCGGUUGGGGUGACCUCGGAGAAUAAAAAAUCCUCCGAACGAUUCUAAAGACUAGACCUACAAGUCAAAUCACUCAAUCGCUUAUUGAUCCAAAAAGCUUGAUCAACGGAACAAGUUACCCUAGGGAUAACAGCGCA